AAAGGAACGUUCGUUGUGAUAU
This 22-nucleotide microRNA is filed under the name Bactrocera dorsalis (oriental fruit fly). RNAcentral's name for it is "bdo-miR-5a". Its record names the gene bdo-miR-5a. The record is from miRBase by way of RNAcentral. Lineage: Eukaryota; Metazoa; Arthropoda; Insecta; Diptera; Tephritidae.